GAUGAACGCUGGCGGCGUGCUUAACGCAUGCAAGUCGAACGAGAAAUGUAGACGGAAACCUUCGGGCGGAAGCCUUCAUUUCGAGUGGCGGACGGGUGAGUAACGCGUGGGUAACCUGCCUCAUACAGGGGGAUAACAGUUGGAAACGACUGUUAAUACCGCAUAAGACCACAGCAUCGCAUGAUGCGGGGGUAAAAACUCCGGUGGUAUGAGAUGGACCCGCGUUCGAUUAGCCAGUUGGCGGGGUAACGGCCCACCAAAGCGACGAUCGAUAGCCGAUCUGAGAGGAUGACCGGCCACAUUGGGACUGAGACACGGCCCAAACUCCUACGGGAGGCAGCAGUGGGGAAUAUUGCACAAUGGGGGAAACCCUGAUGCAGCGACGCCGCGUGAGUGAAGAAGUACUUCGGUAUGUAAAGCUCUAUCAGCAGGGAAGAAAAUGACGGUACCUGAGUAAGAAGCCCCGGCUAACUACGUG
This 478-nucleotide ribosomal RNA is filed under the name uncultured bacterium. RNAcentral describes it as "partial 16S ribosomal RNA". It matches the Rfam family "Bacterial small subunit ribosomal RNA", at positions 28 to 507 of the family's 1533-position model. The record is from RNAcentral.